AGCAUGUGGUUUAUUCGAUGCAACGCGAAGAACCUUACCUGGGCUUGACAUCCCGAUCGCACCUUUUGGUAAACUUAAGGGUCGAGUUCGGCUGGAUCGGUGACAGGUGCUGCAUGGCUGUCGUCAGCUCGUGUCGUGAGAUGUUGGGUUAAGUCCCGCAACGAGCGCAACCCUCGUCCUUAGUUGCCAGCAUUCAGUUGGGCACUCUAAGGAGACUGCCGGUGUUAAACCGGAGGAAGGCGGGGAUGACGUCAAGUCCUCAUGGCCCUUAUGUCCAGGGCUACACACGUGCUACAAUGGCCGGUACAAAGGGUAGCAAGACCGCGAGGUGGAGCCAACCCCAAAAAGCCGGUCUCAGUUCGGAUUGGAGUCUGCAACUCGACUCCAUGAAGUUGGAAUCGCUAGUAAUCGUGGAUCAGCAUGCCACGGUGAAUACGUUCCCGGGCCUU
This 449-nucleotide ribosomal RNA is filed under the name uncultured Desulfuromonas sp. RNAcentral describes it as "bacterial SSU rRNA". It matches the Rfam family "Bacterial small subunit ribosomal RNA", at positions 936 to 1382 of the family's 1533-position model. Lineage: Bacteria; Pseudomonadati; Thermodesulfobacteriota; Desulfuromonadia; Desulfuromonadales; Desulfuromonadaceae. The record is from RNAcentral.